This 292-nucleotide ribosomal RNA is filed under the name uncultured bacterium. RNAcentral describes it as "partial 16S ribosomal RNA". It matches the Rfam family "Bacterial small subunit ribosomal RNA", at positions 505 to 796 of the family's 1533-position model. The record is from RNAcentral.
GUGUCAGCAGCCGCGGUAAUACAGAGGGUGCAAGCGUUGUCCGGAAUUACUGGGCGUAAAGGGCGCGUAGGCGGUCCAAUAAGUAGGGGGUGAAAUCUCACGGCUCAACCGGGAGGCUGCCUUCUAGACUGUUGGACUUGAGCACGGUAGAGGCAGAUGGAAUUCCCGGUGUAGCGGUGGAAUGCGUAGAGAUCGGGAAGAACACCAGUGGCGAAGGCGAUCUGCUGGGCCGUUGCUGACGCUGAGGCGCGACAGCGUGGGGAGCAAACAGGAUUAGAUACCCUGGUAGUCC